Molecule: ribosomal RNA, 579 nt
Filed under: Triticum aestivum (bread wheat)
Lineage: Eukaryota; Viridiplantae; Streptophyta; Magnoliopsida; Poales; Poaceae
Description: partial small subunit ribosomal RNA
Source: RNAcentral
AUGGCGCAGCCGCCGCCAUGGAAGGCGAUGUACCUGUAUGUGGCGAGCCAGGCGCGCGACGGCUGCGCCGGCGUCAGGCAAAGAGUCGCCUCCGCGCGUGACGAUCUGGCGUCCCCGCUGGUGCUGGACACCCGCGACGCCGAGGGGCGGUACACCCUGCUGCAGUCCGCGACGACCCACCUCCAGCACGCGUCCGACCACCUCUCCGCUUUCAUCAUCAACACGGCGGUGGCCGAGCGCCUGGCGCUCCACGGCUGCGGCCCCGUCCCGUCGCAGCCGGUGGCCCGCGUCGGCGACCUCCGCGCCGGCCACGACCACGACUGGCUUGGCCUGAUCAGGCUCCAGGCCGCCAGGGAGCACGCCGAGGGCGCGCUCCGCCGAGUGGAGGGGGCCCUCGCCCUCCUGGGCUCCGUCCGGUUCAUGCUUCACAGCCAGAACCCCGACGCUCCAGGGCGCCGGCAAGCCAUGGAAGGGCAGCUCCACGCCCUCGACCUCCAGCCCGUGGUGGUCGGCGUGGCGAGCAUGUCCGCGCUGGCCUCCAUGGCCACGGAGCCUCCCAUCCGCGACCGCAUCCAGUGA